AUGAACGCUGGCGGCGUGCCUAAUACAUGCAAGUCGAGCGAACAGACGAGGAGCUUGCUCCUCUGACGUUAGCGGCGGACGGGUGAGUAACACGUGGAUAACCUACCUAUAAGACUGGGAUAGCUUCGGGAAACCGGAGCUAAUACCGGAUAAUAUAUUGAACCGCAUGGUUCAAUAGUGAAAGACGGUUUUGCUGUCACUUAUAGAUGGAUCCGCGCCGCAUUAGCUAGUUGGUAAGGUAACGGCUUACCAAGGCAACGAUGCGUAGCCGACCUGAGAGGGUGAUCGGCCACACUGGAACUGAGACACGGUCCAGACUCCUACGGGAGGCAGCAGUAGGGAAUCUUCCGCAAUGGGCGAAAGCCUGACGGAGCAACGCCGCGUGAGUGAUGAAGGUCUUCGGAUCGUAAAACUCUGUUAUUAGGGAAGAACAAAUGUGUAAGUAACUAUGCACGUCUUGACGGUACCUAAUCAGAAAGCCACGGCUAACUACGUG
Molecule: ribosomal RNA, 496 nt
Filed under: uncultured bacterium
Lineage: Bacteria
Description: partial 16S ribosomal RNA
Rfam family: Bacterial small subunit ribosomal RNA
Source: RNAcentral